CUCAUGACACUGAAAACAUGGUCUUCAUUCUAAGUAAAUGGUAUGGUUCAAAUAUUUCUUAAAUAUUAAUUCAAUACCAAUACUUUAUAUUGGAAUUAUCCCAGGUUUUUGAAUUAUAUGCCAAAAACUGCAUUUUACCCCCAUGUUCUAAUUUUAGCUAUGGCCGCCAUCUUGGUUUGUUGGCCGAGUUACCAGACACAUUUUUUAAACAAAAUACCCCAAUGAUGAUUAUGGCCAAGUUUGGAUUAAUUUGGCCCAGUAGUUUCAUCAGAGAAGAUUUUUCUAAAAGAUUACUGAGAUUUACGAAAAAUGGUUAAAAAUUUACUAUAAAGGGCAAUAACUCCUAAAGAGGUCAACUGACCAUUUUGGUCAUGUUGACUUAUUUGUAGAUCUUACUUUGCUGAACAUUAUUGUUGUUUACAGUUUAUCUCUAUCUAUAAUAAUAUUCAAGAUAAUAACCAAAAACAGCAAAAUUUCCUUAAAAUUACCAUUUCAGGGGCAGCAACCCAACAACGGAAUGUCCGAUUCAUCUGAAAAUUUCAGGGCAGAUAGAUCUUGACCUGAUGAACAAUUUUACCCCAGUGUGUCAGAUUUGCUCUAAAUGCUUUGGUUUUUGAGUUAUAAGCCAAAAACUGCAUUUUACCCCUAUGUUCUAUUUUUAGCCAUGGCGGCCAUCUUGGUUGGUUGGGCGGGGCACCGGACACAUUUUUUAAACUAGAUACCCCAAUGAUGAUUAUGGCCAAGUUUGGUUAAAUUUGACCCAGUAGUUUCAGAGGAGAAGAUUUUUCUAAAAGAUUACUAAGAUUUACGAAAAAUGGUUAAAAAUUGACUAUAAAGGGCAAUAACUCCUAAAGUGGUCAACUGACCAUUUUUGAUCAUGUUGACUUAUUUGUAGAUCUUACUUUGCUGAACAUUAUUGCUGUUUACAGUUUAUCUCUAUCUAUAAUAAUAUUCAAGAUAAUAACCAAAAACAGCAAAAUUUCCUUAAAAUUACCAUUUCAGGGGCAGCAACCCAACAACGAAAUGUCCGAUUCAUCUGAAAAUUUCAGGGCAGAUAGAUCUUGACCUGUUGAACAAUAUUACCCCAUGUCAGAUUUGCUCUAAAUGCUUUGGUUUUUUGAGUUAUAAGCCAAAAACUGCAUUUUACCCCUAUGUUCUAUUUUUAGCCAUGGCGGCCAUCUUGGUUGGUUGGCCGGGGCACCGGACACAUUUUUUAAACUAGAUACCCCAAUGAUGAUUAUGGCCAAGUUUGGUUAAAUUUGACCCAGUAGUUUCAGAGGAGAAGAUUUUUCUAAAAGAUUACUAAGAUUUACGAAAAAUGGUUAAAAAUUGACUAUAAAGGGCAAUAACUCCUAAAGUGGUCAACUGACCAUUUUGAUCAUGUUGACUUAUUUGUAGAUCUUACUUUGCUGAACAUUAUUGCUGUUUACAGUUUAUCUCUAUCUAUAAUAAUAUUCAAGAUAAUAACCAAAAACAGCAAAAUUUCCUUAAAAUUACCAUUUCAGGGGCAGCAACCCAACAACGAAAUGUCCGAUUCAUCUGAAAAUUUCAGGGCAGAUAGAUCUUGACCUGUUGAACAAUAUUACCCCAUGUCAGAUUUGCUCUAAAUGCUUUGGUUUUUGAGUUAUAAGCCAAAAACUGCAUUUUACCCCUAUGUUCUAUUUUUAGCCAUGGCGGCCAUCUUGGUUGGUUGGCCGGGUCACCGGACACAUUUUUUAAACUAGAUACCCCAAUGAUGAUUGUGGCCAAGUUUGGUUAAAUUUGGCCCAGUAGUUUCAGAGGAGAAGAUUUUUGUAAAAGUUAACGCAGGACGACGGACGACGACGACGACGACGACGGACGCCGGACGCCAAGUGAUGAGAAAAGCUCACUUGGCCCUUUGGGCCAGGUGAGCUAAAAAGGGGUUCA
RNAcentral lists this long non-coding RNA (1908 nucleotides) under Mytilus galloprovincialis (Mediterranean mussel). Lineage: Eukaryota; Metazoa; Mollusca; Bivalvia; Mytilida; Mytilidae. The record is from RNAcentral.